GAAGGAUCCAAAGUGGAGACUGGAAACUCUCAGGGUGGAGCCUGAUGGAGUCCGAUGGUUGACACCAGGUCUGAGGAAAUAUUCCUGUCAACUCACCAUCGACACAAACACAAUGAGCAGAUUACUGAAACUGUCUGAAGACAACAGGAAGUUGACGCGUGUGAAGAUGUUUCAGCCAUAUUCUGUUCAUCCAGACAGAUUUGAGUUUUAUCACAAUGUCCUGUGUGAAACUGGUCUGACUGGUCGCUGUUACUGGGAGGUUGAGUGGAGUGGAGCUGUUGAUAUAGCAGUGAGUUACAGAAGAAUCAGGAGGAAUGGAGGCAGUAGAGCCUGUGUGUUUGGAGAGAAUGAUCAUUCCUGGUGUCUGAUUUACACUGAUGAUGAAAGAUACUUUAUCAGGCACAAUAACAUACGAAUUCGUCUCCCCUCCUCCUGUUUCUCUCACAGAGUAGGUGUGUAUGUGGACUGUCCUGCUGGCAUUCUGUCCUUCUACAAAGUUUCCUCUGACUCUCUGACCCACAUCUACACCUAUAAAACCACAUUCACUGAACCUCUCUAUGCUGGGUUUGGGCUCUUUCUCCCUGGUUCUUCACUGGUUCUGAAGAACUAGAAUUUCUUGUAUCAGAGAAUUUCUCUCUGUUAAAGUUAAAGUCAAGUUUAUUGACAAGACAUUUCAAAGUUCUUUUCCCCAUAAUAACAUAAUACAGUUUUAAAUGAUGAAACAUUAAAUGUUGUCAGAUAUCAAAAUAAUGAAGCAAACAUGCAUCCAAUAUAUUGAUCAAUGUUACAAUUAUUAUGAAUCAAACACAACUUAAACAGGGUUUGUUACUCCUUUGUUUUGUUUGUAUUACAUGUCCAUCCACUAGGGGGCGCUGUUUCUCCUGGAGGCCUGGUUGCAUCCUGCAUGUUUUAUUCCCUCCCUGGUUUUAGUAACAACCUUUCAGCAGGUCAAAGUUCUUCUUUGGCCUCUAAUGAUCCAUCGUUGGAUCCAGGUGAGUUAAACCAGGGAGAGACUAGAACCUGCAGGAUGCCGGCCCUCAGGGGCCACUUUGGGCUCCACUGGUCUAAAUGAUGCUGGAAUGACCAGAUUAAGGCUCCAAGCAGGAACGAACCAUUUCAUGCAGAUCCAGGGAAGUUCAGUGAAAAUAUAGAUGUGCUUUUUGCUCUGGGAGGUAACAUUUAAUUUUUACUGCUAUAAACUAUUUUAGAAAACACAGUAUGAAUAAUUUUGCAAUUGACAGGGCCCCAAUUUUUUAAAAUUUCUAUAAAAAAAAGGCCUAUUUUGUGGGGCCCCGUCGGUCAGGGGCCCUUGGAAUUGUCCUAACUUCCCCCCCUAUACGCAGCCCUGAUUAUGGGCCUGAUCAGUAGUUUAUUGUGUCGACAGAUUAAAUUAGAGUAACUAAGAAUAAAAUAAUUUAAACCGUGAGUGAAAAUGAGCAGGAGAUUGUAAAAUCACAAACCUGAUGAGGCCGACCCGCGAGCCAAAGGUUUAAAAUGUGGAUUUGCUCUCAGUGUUGCUGCUUCAUGAUGUUCUUUAAUGUUUGUGGAUCCAAGAAGUUUCACAGGUUCUGCCCAGAAUGAGUUCAAGGAUUUUUGAGGCUCCAUCUGUACAUGGAGAAACUUUAUGAUGGAUUUUUACCUUGAUGAAGAAAACAUGGAUCAACCCAGGAAAGGUCUUUCCAUGUGAUCCGACCCUCUGUCUCUCUCUGACUCCUGGCAAAUUUAUUACAUUCAGAAAAUCACUCAGCCAGUUUUAGGGAAGGAUAAUUAUCUGUUCAACUUAUCUACUUCUGUCUAUUUGCUUGAUUUUAUUUUAUUUUAUGUUACUGUUUGCUGUAGCUGCUAAACUCUGCAGAUUAACAUCAACAUCUUGCUGGAAGUUGUGGAAAUGUAAUUUUUGAGAUUGUUCCCUGUAAGAUUUCUUCAUGGUUUUAAAUUGAUUGAUGUUCUCAACAAAAUUACCAGAAGUUUUGAUCAAUAAAGUUAAAAACCCAAAUUUUUGAAGUCUAUUUUUUCCAGUUUCUAAAACCAUUCAACCCAGUUCUAACUGUAUAAGAGGAGAAAAUGAGAUGCUGCCGUGUUUCAAAGCAGCACUUUCUGCAGCCUGCAGUGAUUUUAUGUUCUAGAGUUUACUCUCUGAGAGGCAGCAGCUCUUAGAAACAAAGAUCUGAUCUUUUCCACGACCUUUGGAGAGAUUCAGCUUUUGUUUUAGACCAGCUGCUAUGAAAUAAAUGCUUUUCUAGGAUAAUUUCACAUUUUCUGGCCUCAUUCUGGAUCUUCCUCCUCAGACAAUAAAUGUUUCCCCCAACAGAUUGAAGCCACUCUUCAUGCAGCCAUCUUGGUGUUUAUAUUUGCUGUCAUUUUAAAGUUAUUGUACAAAAUCAAUUCAGUCCAGAUUUUCUGCCAAAUAUAAAUGAGGCUCAGUUCUGCUAAUAUUCUAUUUAUGAACAAAAUCACUGUUUUGGAUUAGAGAUAAAAUAUCAACAAUUUCAAAUGUUGCUUUUUAUGAAAUUUUGUUUCA
This is a long non-coding RNA of Xiphophorus maculatus (southern platyfish), 2521 nucleotides long. RefSeq lists it as uncharacterized. The record is from RefSeq and is a predicted model, not a curated record. Lineage: Eukaryota; Metazoa; Chordata; Actinopteri; Cyprinodontiformes; Poeciliidae. The transcript is spliced from 3 exons.